AUUGAACGCUGGCGGCAGGCCUAACACAUGCAAGUCGAACGCGUGGCGGACGGGUGAGUAAUGUCUGGGAAACUGCCUGAUGGAGGGGGAUAACUACUGGACACGGUAGCUAAUACCGCAUUCCCUCAGAUGUCCCCAGAUGGGAUUGGCUAGUUGGUGGGGGAACGGCCCACCAAGGCGACGAUCCCUAGCUGGUCUGAGAGGAGGACCAGCCACACGGGAACUGAGACACGGUCCAGACGCCUACGGGAGGCAGCAGUGGGGAAUAGUGCACAAUGGGCGCAAGCCUGAUGCAGCCAUGCCGCGUGUAUGAAGAAGGCCUUCGGGUUGUAAAGUACUUUCAGCGGGGAGGCGUUACCCGCAGAAGAAGCACCGGCUAACUCCGUGCCAGCAGCCGCGGUAAUAC
Molecule: ribosomal RNA, 406 nt
Filed under: uncultured bacterium
Lineage: Bacteria
Description: partial 16S ribosomal RNA
Rfam family: Bacterial small subunit ribosomal RNA
Source: RNAcentral